This 436-nucleotide ribosomal RNA is filed under the name uncultured bacterium. RNAcentral's name for it is "partial 16S ribosomal RNA". It matches the Rfam family "Bacterial small subunit ribosomal RNA", at positions 29 to 507 of the family's 1533-position model. The record is from RNAcentral.
AGCGAACGCUGGCGGCAGGCUUAACACAUGCAAGUCGAGCGGCCAUCCUUUUGGUGUUAGCGGCAGACGGGUGAGUAACGCGUGGGAACGUGCCCUUCGGUUCGGAAUAACUCUGGGAAACUUGAGCUAAUACCGGAUACGUGCGAGAGCAGAAAGGUUUAUCUGCCGAAGGAUCGGCCAGCGUCUGAUUAGCUAGUUGGUGAGGUUAUGGCUCACCAAGGCGACGAUCAGUAGCUGGUAUGAGAGGAUGAUCAGCCACACUGGGACUGGGACACGGCCCAGACUCCUGCGGGAGGCAGCAGUGGGGAAUAUUGGACAAUGGGGCAACCCUGAUCCAGCCAUGCCGCGUGAGUGAUGACGGCCUUAGGGUUGUAAAGCUCUUUUCUCCGGGACGAUAAUGACGGUACCGGAGGAAUAAGCCCCGGCUAACUUCGUG